CCUACGGGUGACAGCAGUGGGGGAUAUUGCACAAUGGGGGGAACCCUGAUGCAGCGACGCCGCGUGGGUGAAGAAGCGCCUCGGCGUGUAAAGCCCUGUCAGCAGGGAAGAAAAUGACGGUACCUGAGGAAGAAGCCCCGGCUAACUACGUGCCAGCAGCCGCGGUAAUACGUAGGGGGCAAGCGUUAUCCGGAUUUACUGGGUGUAAAGGGGGCGCAGACGGCGGUGCAAGCCAGGAGUGAAAGGCGGGGGCCCAACCCCGGGACUGCUCUGGAAACUGCGUGGCUGGAGUGCAGGAGAGGCAAGCGGAAUUCCUGGUGUAGCGGUGAAAUGCGUAGAUAUCAGGAGGAACACCGGUGGCGAAGGCGGCCUACUGGACUGUAACUGACGUUGAGGCUCGAAAGCGUGGGGAGCAAACAGGAUUAGAUACCCCUGUAGUC
This 440-nucleotide ribosomal RNA is filed under the name uncultured bacterium. RNAcentral describes it as "partial 16S ribosomal RNA". It matches the Rfam family "Bacterial small subunit ribosomal RNA", at positions 338 to 795 of the family's 1533-position model. The record is from RNAcentral.